This 460-nucleotide ribosomal RNA is filed under the name uncultured bacterium. RNAcentral's name for it is "partial 16S ribosomal RNA". It matches the Rfam family "Bacterial small subunit ribosomal RNA", at positions 338 to 795 of the family's 1533-position model. The record is from RNAcentral.
CCUACGGGAGGCAGCAGUGAGGAAUAUUGGUCAAUGGGCGCGAGCCUGACCCAGCCAAGUAGCGUGAGGGAUGACUGCCCUACGGGUUGUAAACUUCUUUUAUAAGGGAAUAAAGUGAGGCACGUGUGCCUGUUUGUAUGUACUUUAUGUAUAAAGAUAGGCUAACUUCGUGCCAGCAGCCGCGGUGAUACAGUGGAUCGGAGCGUUAGGCGGAUUUAUUGGGUUUAAAGGGAGCGUAGAUGGGGUGUUAAGUCAGGUGUGAAAGUUUGCGGCUCAACCGUAAAAUGGCAAUUGAUACUGGUAGUCUUGAGUGAAGAUGAGGUAGGCGGAAUUCGUGGUGUAGCGGUGAAAUGCUUAGAGAUCACGAAGAACUCCGAUUGCGAAGGCAGCUUACUAAUCUGCAACUGACAUUGAUGCUCGAAAGUGUGGGGAUCAAACAGGAUUAGAUACCCUAGUAGUC